RNAcentral lists this ribosomal RNA (636 nucleotides) under uncultured eukaryote. RNAcentral describes it as "eukaryotic LSU rRNA". The stretch from base 225 to 379 matches the Rfam family "5.8S ribosomal RNA". The record is from RNAcentral.
UUCCGUAGGUGAACCUGCGGAAGGAUCAUUCACACGAAUCAUCCAAAUCCACGUGCAUAUCUGAGUGAGAGUCAUGGAAGGACUGGCAACGGUCAUCUGUGUUCUCUCGAGGCUGGUCUGGGGCGGAUUAGGGCUUCGGCACCUCUUCUGCUCUGUCCAGCACCCAUACCUCACCCUGUGAUUCUUUUGUUGUCGGUGCCUCUUGGUACUACAUUCAACAUUACAACUUUUAGCGAUGGAUGCCUCGGCUCGAACAACGAUGAAGGGCGCAGCGAAAUGCGAUAAGCACUGUGAAUUGCAGAAUUCCGUGAAUCAACAGAACCCUGAACGCAUCCUGUGCUUUCGGGAUAUCCCUGAAAGCAUGUCUGCUUCAGAGUCUCCACUGUAUCCUGCAGCAUUGGCCUGGAGCCUGGCUGCGUCUCUGCGCGUUAGAGCGCGCCCCUGCCUUUGGCUGGCGGCCGCUCUGACGUGUUUAAUGCAUCGAUCUGCCUUGAGAGCGCCAACUUGGUGAUCGCCCUUGCUGGUGUUUCAUCUCGCUGUUCGCCUCAAGUUGGGAUCCCCACUCCUUUGCUGUCCUUGCGGCAGUGAACCAAGACAUGAAGUUAGGCAAGGUUACCCGCUGAAUUUAAGCAUAUC